RNAcentral lists this transfer RNA (95 nucleotides) under Candidatus Cloacimonadota bacterium. RNAcentral describes it as "Candidatus Cloacimonetes bacterium tRNA-Sec". It matches the Rfam family "Selenocysteine transfer RNA". The record is from RNAcentral. Lineage: Bacteria; Pseudomonadati; Candidatus Cloacimonadota.
AGAGAGGAUGAAACUGGUGUUUCAGCCGGUCUUCAAAACCGGUAACCGGCAGCUAAAACUGUCAGCGGCAGGUUCGAUUCCUGCCCUCUCGGCCA